GACGAACGCUGGCGGCGUGCUUAACACAUGCAAGUCGAACGCGCCUGUCCUCUGGGUUUCUGGGGGGUGGGUGAGUGGCGAACGGGUGAGUAACACGUGAGUAACCUGCCCCCUUCUUCGGGAUAACGGUCUGAAAGGGCUGCUAAUACCGGGUAUUCACUGGUCUCCGCAUGGGGUCUGGUGGAAAGGUUUUUUUCUGGUGGGGGAUGGGCUCGCGGCCUAUCAGCUUGUUGGUGGGGUGAUGGCGCACCAAGGCUUUGACGGGUAGCCGGCCUGAGAGGGUGACCGGUCACAUUGGGACUGAGAUACGGCCCAGACUCCUACGGGGGGCAGCAGGGGGGAAUAUUGCACAAUGGGCGCAAGCAUGAUGCAGCGACGCCGCGUGAGGGAUGGAGGCCUUCGGGUUGUGAACCUCUUUCGCCCGUGGUCAAGCCGCGACGUGGGUCGUGGUGAGGGUAGUGGGUAAAGAAGCGCCGGCUAACUACGUG
This 488-nucleotide ribosomal RNA is filed under the name uncultured bacterium. Its description in RNAcentral is "partial 16S ribosomal RNA". It matches the Rfam family "Bacterial small subunit ribosomal RNA", at positions 28 to 507 of the family's 1533-position model. The record is from RNAcentral.